RNAcentral lists this ribosomal RNA (709 nucleotides) under Salmonella enterica subsp. enterica serovar Weltevreden. RNAcentral describes it as "partial 23S ribosomal RNA". It matches the Rfam family "Bacterial large subunit ribosomal RNA", at positions 39 to 788 of the family's 2925-position model. The record is from RNAcentral. Lineage: Bacteria; Pseudomonadati; Pseudomonadota; Gammaproteobacteria; Enterobacterales; Enterobacteriaceae.
GUCAGAGGCGAUGAAGGGCGUGCUAAUCUGCGAUAAGCGCCGGUAAGGUGAUAUGAACCGUUAUAACCGGCGAUACCCGAAUGGGGAAACCCAGUGUGACUCGUCACACUAUCAUUAACUGAAUCCAUAGGUUAAUGAGGCGAACCGGGGGAACUGAAACAUCUAAGUACCCCGAGGAAAAGAAAUCAACCGAGAUUCCCCCAGUAGCGGCGAGCGAACGGGGAGGAGCCCAGAGCCUGAAUCAGCAUGUGUGUUAGUGGAAGCGUCUGGAAAGGCGCGCGAUACAGGGUGACAGCCCCGUACACAAAAGCGCAUGUGCUGUGAGCUCGAUGAGUAGGGCGGGACACGUGGUAUCCUGUCUGAAUAUGGGGGGACCAUCCUCCAAGGCUAAAUACUCCUGACUGACCGAUAGUGAACCAGUACCGUGAGGGAAAGGCGAAAAGAACCCCGGCGAGGGGAGUGAAAAAGAACCUGAAACCGUGUACGUACAAGCAGUGGGAGCACAGGUUUACCUGUGUGACUGCGUACCUUUUGUAUAAUGGGUCAGCGACUUAUAUUCUGUAGCAAGGUUAACCGCAUAGGGGAGCCGGAGGGAAACCGAGUCUUAAUUGGGCGUUAAGUUGCAGGGUAUAGACCCGAAACCCGGUGAUCUAGCCAUGGGCAGGUUGAAGGUUGGGUAACACUAACUGGAGGACCGAACCGACUAAUG